Molecule: ribosomal RNA, 425 nt
Filed under: uncultured bacterium
Lineage: Bacteria
Description: partial 16S ribosomal RNA
Rfam family: Bacterial small subunit ribosomal RNA
Source: RNAcentral
GUGGGGAAUAUUGGACAAUGGGCGCAAGCCUGAUCCAGCAAUGCCGCGUGAGUGAUGAAGGCCUUAGGGUUGUAAAGCUCUUUCACCGGGGAAGAUAAUGACGGUACCCGGAGAAGAAGCCCCGGCUAACUUCGUGCCAGCAGCCGCGGUAAUACGAAGGGGGCUAGCGUUGUUCGGAUUUACUGGGCGUAAAGCGCACGUAGGCGGAUCGUUAAGUCGGGGGUGAAAUCCUGGAGCUCAACUCCAGAACUGCCUUCGAUACUGGCGAUCUUGAGUCCGGAAGAGGUGAGUGGAACUCCUAGUGUAGAGGUGGAAUUCGUAGAUAUUAGGAAGAACACCAGUGGCGAAGGCGGCUCACUGGUCCGGUACUGACGCUGAGGUGCGAAAGCGUGGGGAGCAAACAGGAUUAGAAACCCCUGUAGUCC